RNAcentral lists this ribosomal RNA (516 nucleotides) under Vibrio sp. CR-I-E3. RNAcentral's name for it is "bacterial SSU rRNA". It matches the Rfam family "Bacterial small subunit ribosomal RNA", at positions 111 to 623 of the family's 1533-position model. The record is from RNAcentral. Lineage: Bacteria; Pseudomonadati; Pseudomonadota; Gammaproteobacteria; Vibrionales; Vibrionaceae.
UAAUGCCUAGGAAAUUGCCCUGAUGUGGGGGAUAACCAUUGGAAACGAUGGCUAAUACCGCAUGAUGCCUACGGGCCAAAGAGGGGGACCUUCGGGCCUCUCGCGUCAGGAUAUGCCUAGGUGGGAUUAGCUAGUUGGUGAGGUAAUGGCUCACCAAGGCGACGAUCCCUAGCUGGUCUGAGAGGAUGAUCAGCCACACUGGAACUGAGACACGGUCCAGACUCCUACGGGAGGCAGCAGUGGGGAAUAUUGCACAAUGGGCGCAAGCCUGAUGCAGCCAUGCCGCGUGUGUGAAGAAGGCCUUCGGGUUGUAAAGCACUUUCAGUCGUGAGGAAGGUGGUGUAGUUAAUAGCUGCAUUACUUGACGUUAGCGACAGAAGAAGCACCGGCUAACUCCGUGCCAGCAGCCGCGGUAAUACGGAGGGUGCGAGCGUUAAUCGGAAUUACUGGGCGUAAAGCGCAUGCAGGUGGUUUGUUAAGUCAGAUGUGAAAGCCCGGGGCUCAACCUCGGAAUAG